UUCACUGCAAACAGAAAAAUAUUUUCCCCAUUUAAAAACAUCUCAAAACAAAAAUAUGAACAAAUAAAUAUUCAUAAAUAAUAAUAAAUAUUAAAAUUACAUCAUCGAAAAACGGUUUAAAGAGUCCUGAGAAGAUGAUGAAAUGAAAAAUGUUCACACCAGACGACCUUUUCUGUGACUGUCAUUAUCUGUCAGUUACUGAAACAGCAUUCAUUCCAUAUAUUCAGAUUUUCAUUCAAUAUAUUCCAACUUUCAUUCCAUAUAUUCAGACUUUCAUUCAAUAUAUUCAGAUUUUCAUUCCAUAUAUUCAGAUUUUCAUUCCAUAUAUCCCGACUUUCAUUCCAUAUAUUCCGACUUUUUUUCCCUACCGAGCCCCAGAAGGGACAUGUCGGUUUGGCGAAACGACAAUGGAGGACACCCACCUGUACGAGAGUUUUAUUGAGGUUUAUUUUGAAAUCGGCCUAAAACACAAAGACAUUCAAGCAGUGCUUAACAAGAGGCACAGUUUUCACAUAAACGAUACUGCUUUUCGAGCAAGCUGGUUCCAGUGCAAGUUCGGAGCCAGUGUCUGACUGAGCACCAGUUCCUUGUGUUUCCACCAACUAACCACCGGCUCCUGGGGACGCAGCAGUUAUCGGCCAAAACAAUCCCGCUUUGACCAGCUGCAUGCUGUGAUUCUAGCCGGGGCCCUGAACGCCACAGUCGUGCUGGACUUGAUGCACUACGAGUCUGCCAUGCAGACCAGUGAUCCUGAUCCUGUUGUCGGCCUUGGAGGAUGAGGUCCAGUUACCAGGAUCACUACUCUGCAGCUCAUCCAUGCUGUCCUCCUCUCAACAGACCAAAUCAACUGCAUCCUGUUUGAGUGGAAACCAGCUAAUUGAGCUGCAGCUGAUAACGGCAGCAACUAAAGAGCUAAUGCUAACGCUAACGCCGCCUGUCCAUCAUCAGCCAUGGACAGGACCGGAGGUUUAAUCUGCACUUUAGCAAAUGGACGAGAGGCUGAGAGUUUCUCCCUCCAUCGUCCAUCUUCUGUUUUCAGACGCCAGAGGAGGAAGAAACACAAAAUAUACCAGGAUUUAUGUCUUUGAAUUAUGUUCUGCAGCUCAGACUGAGAUCAAAUAAGCAGAAAAAAUAGUUUAAGCACCUUUAAAGGUAGAUUUUUCUUUCAUAAAUUCAACCUAAAGCCACAGUUUUAAUUCUAUAUUUCAACAUUGCAGUGGAUUAACACAAAUAUUUCAGAUUAUUUACUGAUCCUGGCUGCAGAUUUCAACACUUUUAGGUCAAAGAUGUGAUUUUAAACCCAUCUGUUUUCACCGUUUGCCUCAGUGAAGACACAUUUCCUCAUUUAUAAUCAAUCUGAACGUUGGUUUCUGUAGAUUUUUUCAGUUUUAAUCAGGUUUCUGAGGAGACGAGGACUGUAGAAGUACUUUCAGGAAGCUGUUCCCACCGUUUAAUUAAAUGACCACAAGAUAAUAAAAAUAAAUUGAAUUUACUAACUAAAGAUAUAAACACUAUUUUGGUGACUUGUGUUGACAAAAUAAUGUUGCAUCAUCUUAAUAUUUUGUGUAAUUUAAACUCAGUUUUCUGCUUUAGUUGAUUUAAAACUAAAUUCAAGUUGAGGGAACACAAUGAAAAUGGUUUGAGCAACUUAGAUUUUAAAUGUUUGUCAACUUUAAAACUUGUUCAUAAUUAUGGUAAUUAAGUACACAACACUUAAAAACUAUUUUAAAAACGUGGAAAUACUAGCGGGAAAACCUUAGUAUGUAUGUUGCACAUCAAUAACAUUUGUGUUCCCAAACAGUAACAUUUAUGUUCCCUUAUAAUAAUGUUUGUGUUCUGUUACAAUAACUUUUAUGUUCUCUAAAAAUAAUACUUGUGUUGCCUCACAGUAUUUUUUUGUAUUUCUUCACAAUAACUUUUGUGUUCCCUCACAAUUAUGUUCUCUAAAAAUAACUUUUCUUACAAUAAGUUUUUAGUUACCUCAAAAUAACAUUUAUCUUCUCUCACAACAACAUUUAUGUUCCCUCAUAAUAAUAUUUAUGUUCCCUUGCAUAAACACUGGUGUGCCCUUGUACUAACAUUUCAGUUCCCAAACAAUAACAUUUAUGUUCCCUAACAAUAACUUUGACAUUCUCUUGCAGUAACUUUUGUGUUCCCUCAAAUGUACGACUCUUUUUAACCCUUUUUUUUCUUUAGAGCUUCUCCUCCAUUUAGAUCUGAAACCAUUAAACCAGUAACAUCCUCUUUAUCUGUCUGGACGUAACUGGGACACACACACACACACACACACACACACACACACACACACACUGUCUGCAGCAGCUACAUGCUAAGCUAAUGUUGCUGUCAGUUGCAUCAGACGUUCACAUGCAAAGAGAUUUUUUUGGACAUUUUAAAUCAAAUUACUUCAAAAUGCAGCUUGUUUUUUUCUGCAAACAUCAACUAAAAGGUAACAUGAUGGAAACAACACGCGACAAACACGUGUCUUUUUUCUUUCAGCUCAGUUUGACUUCCUGCUAUGUUUAAUUUCUGUGUUUAAACGUGUUUUUUUAUGUAAUCUGUUCUCAGCUGGACGGUAAUCGCCAUCUGAACAGCUGAGGUCGCCAAGGUUACGUAACCGAUGAGUCAGCAUGGACACACAAACACACAAACACAAACACACAAUAAUCUCAUUAAAUCUGCAAGAAUUUCAUCUAAACUACAGCAGGACGGUUUGGACGCCACUUCCUGUUUUCACACCUUUGUCCGCGGAUCAACUGGAUCGGAUUUCCUGACUUUAAUCAGGAUUUUCUUGGGCCUUCGUGCUGAGUUCAGUCAGUUUGACCUCAAAUACACAAGAAUCUAAAUACUUGUAGUAAAAUCUGAACAUCUCGUCAUUUUUACAGAUAUUUUACCAACAGUCAGCUACAGCUCCUAUUUUAUUCUGCAGAACCAGAAGUUCACAAAUUAAUGCGAAAAAUCAACAGAUUUCAGCAGCAGAACAACAUGUUAAUCAGUUACAAUCACACAGCGCCCCCUGCAGGUCACAGAUAGAAGUAUUUCAGACUACUUUUACAUUUCCUGGCAAAAAGUUUGGAGACACUCGCAAUACUUUGGUUUCCUCACAGUACUUUUAUGUUCCCUUACAAUAACUCUUGCAUUACCUACCAUAACUAGUCAAUGUUCCCUUACAAUAACUUUAACGUUCCCUUAUAGUAACUGUAACACUCCCUUGCACUAACUUUGACAUUCCCUUACGGCAACUUUGAUGUUCCCUGACAAAACUUUUGUGUUCCCUUUAAAUAACUUUGGUGUUCCCUUGCAAUAACGUUCACGUUCUUGAGCAAAGCUUUUGGGUUCUCUCAUAUUAGCCUUCCCGUUCCCUUGCAACCUUUUUGUGUUCCCUCGUAAUAACUUUUGAAAUAACUUUCACGUUCCCUUAUGAUAACUUUAACAUUCCCUUCCAACAAUUUUCAUGUUCUUUUACAAUAACUUUGACAUUUCCUCAUGAAAACUUUUGAGUUCCCGACCUUAACUUUCAUGUUUUCUUGUAAUACUUUUCUGUUCCCUUACAGUAAUUCUAAUGUUCCCUUGAAUAACUUUCAUGUCCCCUUACAAAACCUCUGAUGUUCCCUAACAAUAACUUUGUGUUCCCUGAGAUAAUUUUGACCUGACCUUACAAUAAAUUUGCUGUUCCUUUACAAUAACUUCUGUUCCCUUUAAAUAAUUUCUGUGUUUCCUUACAGUAACUUUUAUGUUCCCUUGAAAUAACUUUCACGUUCUUUUGCAAAACUUUCAUGUUCCCUUAUGAUAGCUUUCGGGUUCCCUACUAUAACUUUCGUGUGUUUUUGUAAUACUUUUCUGUUCCCUUACAAUAAUUCUGAUGUUCCCUUGAAUAAUUUUCAUCUUCCCUUUUAAUAAUUUUGUCUUCAUUUGCAAUUACUUAUGUGUUCCCUCGAAUUAACUUUCAUGUUCCCUUAUGAUAACUUUGAUGUUCCCUGACAAUAACUUUCGGGUUCCCUACCAUAACUUUCGUGUGUUUUUGUAAUAUUUUUCUGUUCCCUUACAAUAAUUCUGACGUUCCCUUACAAUAACUUUUAUGUUCCCUUACGACAUCUUUCACAUUUCCCUCACAAUAACUAAAACGUUCCUUUACAGUAACUUUCAUGUUCUCUUAAAGUAAGUUUUGCGUUCGCUUACAAAUAUUUUGCAUUCCCUUACAAUAACUUUCAUGUUCUUUUGCAAAGCUUUUGUGUUCCCUUAAAAUCACUUAUGUUUUCAUUUGCAGUACUUUUGCGUUCUCUCAAAUUAAUUUUCAUGUUCCCUCACAAUAUCUUUGCAUUUCCUCACAAUACAUUUGGUUUCCCUGACAGUAACUUUAACAUUCCCUUAAGAUAAAGUGACUAAACUCACUAUGUUCCCUCUGAUCCAUAUAAUAGUUGCAGUUUUUUGGUCCAGUCUAGUCAGAGGUUAGACAUUUAUUGUUUAUUAUUGAUUUGAAAAUGCAGAUCGUGUUAAAGCUAGACUGAACCAAAACAACACCUAAAGAUUAUUUUCAUUGUUGAUUGGUUUUUGGAUCGUUUGUUGAAAAAUGUGGAUAAGAAUUUCCUCAAAUGUCUUGUUUUGUCCAAAAAUAUUCAAUUUACUGUCACAGAGGAGAAAAAAAAACAGAUAUUCAAUUUUAAGAUGCUAAAAUCACAGAAUUUGAACUGUUUAUAUUAAAAAUACUCUAACUGAUUAAGUGAUUAUCCAAAUAGUUAAUUAUUUAUUAGUUAAUCCAUGAAUUCAUCUUUUAUAUUCAAUUUGUAGUGAAUUAAUAUAACAUCUGCCCUGAAUUUCUACAGUCUAUCGUUGGUUUCCUGCGGGUUUAUUAUUGAUAAACAGGCCCUGAGUUUACAAUGACCUUGUAUUGAUCACAGACGCUGGAGAAGCAAACUGGGAACCCUGGAAACCACCAGUACAGCCAGUAAAACCAGCAAAACGUUGACAUAACGGAUCAUUUCUCGGUAAUUUCUAUGGAUUUCAGACGAUGUGACCAGCAGGUUGAGGCUGAAGCAUCCUCCAUACAUCCACCAUUCAUCCAUCCAUUCAUCCAUCCACCAUCCAUCUUUCAUCCAUCUUUCAUCCAUCCAGCCUCCAUCCAGCCUCCAUUUUACACCAAACCCCACCGCAGACCCAAAAUAGCGCAACAUUUACGCUCAAUCCGCGUCCAGUUCCAAACACAGCGCCUCGUCUAUGAACCAAAGCCGUUAAAACAGCAGCAGAACCGAGCCUGGACGUGGUUUGUGCCAAUGUGCGUAGUAAGGAGCGGGACGGAAAAACGCCCCACGAACACAAUGAAAACACGCAGCCGCAGAGACACGCACCGAGGCUCCGCUGCUGGAUCCAUCCACGCCUUAAAUUACCAAGGAUUCGGUUUUCAAAGCUUUAAACGGCUUUAAACGGGUUUAUUUGGGAGGUUUUGUUUUGAACGGCGCCUCCGCCUUCAUCCUCCGUCAUCAUCCUCAGCAUCAGCAUCUUCGUCCUCCGAGAAUCCGCUGAUCACAAUCCUCAAACCGUCGAUAACAACAAUAAAAACGGGUUUUAUUUACCUGCGAAUAAGC
Long non-coding RNA from Amphiprion ocellaris (clown anemonefish), 5582 nucleotides. RefSeq lists it as uncharacterized. The transcript is spliced from 3 exons. Lineage: Eukaryota; Metazoa; Chordata; Actinopteri; Pomacentridae. The record is from RefSeq and is a predicted model, not a curated record.